Molecule: ribosomal RNA, 352 nt
Filed under: Pirateolea piscator
Lineage: Eukaryota; Metazoa; Arthropoda; Insecta; Lepidoptera; Noctuidae
Description: partial 12S ribosomal RNA
Source: RNAcentral
UAAAAUUUAAAUUUAAAAUACUAAAAUAGUAAAUAAAUAUUUAUUGAAACUUAAAUAAUUUGGCGGUAUUUUAGUUCAUUUAGAGGAAUCUGUUUAAUAAUUGAUAUUCCACGAAUAAAUUUACUUAAUUUAUAAUUUUGUAUAUCGUUGUUGUAAAAAUAUUUUUAAAAAAAAUUAAUAUUUAAAAAUUAAUAAUUAAAAUUAAAUCAGAUCAAGAUGCAGAUUAUAAUUAAGAAUAUAAUGGAUUACAAUAAAUUUAUUUAAAUGGAUUUUAAUUUGUAAAAAUUAAUUGAAGGUGGAUUUAAAUGUAAUUUUAUUUAAUUUAAUAAAAUGAUUAAAAAUUAAAAUAUGU